RNA transcript from Vigna radiata var. radiata (mung bean), 1329 nucleotides. RefSeq lists it as uncharacterized. Lineage: Eukaryota; Viridiplantae; Streptophyta; Magnoliopsida; Fabales; Fabaceae. The record is from RefSeq and is a predicted model, not a curated record. The transcript has 7 exons.
AGUUUUUCUGAUGAGAAAGAGAAAGGAAGAAAAUCACAAAAAUUACAUUAAAGUACCAAAAUUUUCACCGCAGAACCUUACUUUUCCGCCUUAUAAAAGAAAUCGGUGUCACCAAACGUUUCACUUACAUCCUUUCCUCUCUUUUAGCCACCACCCUUUCACGUGUCCUUCUCUUACCUUGUUCGCUCCGUCUGUUUCCGAGGAAAAGGAAAAACCUCAAUUGGGUUCCUUUGUUUUUCUUAUUUCUUGUUCUCAUAACAAGUUUCUUUCUGGGAGUUACGUGAAGUUUUCACCUUGGUUGAAGGGGUGACGAAGAGAUUAGGGUGGUGCUAUUUGAAAAAUGGAAGGAAGGAAGCAAAUGGGUUCUUCUUCUUUUACUUCUGAGCUCUUUGGGUCCAAUCAGUCCCAUAAAUCUUCUGCAACUGGAAUUUUUGAAUCUAUGUUUUCUCCACCGUCUAAGGUGUUGGGGAGAGAGUCUCUGCGUUCUGAAGCAAGUGAGAAAACUGCAAGUGAGUGGUGGAGCUCAAAAAUUGAUCACAUCAGCAAGGAAAGUGGUGGUGAAACUCAGAACACAGCACAUAAGGAUAUGAGUUCUAUAUAUCAGGAACAAAAAGUUCAACCAUGUCAGCUUAGCUCAUCAAUCCAUUAUGGUGGCCAAGACAUAUAUUCUCGGCCUAAGAGUUCACAGGAUUCUGAAUUCAACUCUUCGAUGUACAAGAAAGAUGGGGUUGAAGAUGAUUCAGAAAGUGCUUCAAGAGGAAACUGGUGGCAAGGAAGUCUGUAUUACUAAGAUCGCCAUUGCCAAGAAAUAUGCUCCGCAAGUUUAUUUGAAAUUAAAGUAGCCUUGGAAAGUUUACGAAAGGAUUAUGAAGGGUUUGAAAUAACCUAGACUGAAUCAGAAACUAGAAGAAAAACAUGGAACUACCUCAUCCUACUCUCCAAUUGAGCGGGGAAAAAGAAAAAGGAAAAUACAAAGGAGACAAUUACUUCCAUAGGUAAAUAAGAGGAUAGUUUAGCAGUUUAGGCCAUCUUUGUUGCGUGCACAAGUUAUGAAUUGCGAGAACGUUGUGGAUGGCUUGGCUAGUUGCUUUCUCCAGCCAUAAUAGAAUCACUAUAUGAACCUGUAAAGACUAUAGUACUUAAAACUGUGGUAAUGUAAAAGUUGUAUUGUAUGGUAUAGGAACUUCAUGCAUCGUCAUCAGCUACUCUCUUAUGUGGCUGAAAGCUUUUAAGUUUUUACUUUAAUGGGAGAAACCCUCUUUUACUGGUUUCCCCUCUACUUUGUAUUUCAGAUGUUGUAAGUGAGAACUGAUCAUUUAUGUUUGUAUA